GUUGACACUUUGGCAUGUGGGUUGCCUCAAUUUCUUUUAGCCCAACCAAACUUAUUAGAUCUAUACAUAUAGACAAUGCAGUAUGGACCUUUCUCUAUGCGGAACAUAAAACAGGAGGCUUUGCCCAAUGCUAUAUCCGGGUCUGAAUCAUUGAGUUGGACUGCUCUUCAUGAAGCUGUUGCGGCGGGGGAUGACCAAAGAGUGGAAAUAUUGAUAUCCAGAAAAGCAGAUCGCCUAGCCAAGGAUUCAAAUCAAGGAAACACACCAUUGCAUGAGGCAGCCAGUCGGGGAUACAGUCGUUGCGUCAAAUUGAUGUGCACUGCGCCUUCCGCGAAGACACAACAUAAGGACAAGAGCAAGAUUAAAGCAAGGGCGUCAAACACUAUCGAAGCAUUACACAAUAGCACCCUUAGUAUAUCAAAUAACGAGGGUCUUGCGGCGCUACACUUAGCCGCCCAGAAUGGUCAUAAUCAGAGUUCUAGAGAGCUUUUACUGGCCGGAGCGGAUCCUGACGUUCAAAACAAGUAUGGUGAUACAGCGUUACAUACCGCCUGUCGCUAUGGUCAUGCAGGGGUUACUCGAAUUUUGCUUUCGGGCUUAUGUGACCCCAACAAGACAAACCUUAAUGGCGAUACAGCUCUCCAUAUUACAUGCGCCAUGGGUCGGCGAAAGCUAACACGAAUAUUACUUGAGUCUAAUGCUCGAUUAAAUCUAAGAAACGCUCAAGGAGACACCCCUUUAAAUAUCGCAAUAAGAAAGAACUAUCGCGAAAUAAUUGAAAUUUUAAAUACGCCAAAACGAAUACGCAAUCGUACAGAAAUAACAAGUAAACAUGGAAAGCAGGAACCAUCAGAUAAAGAAAAAAAAAAUGAUAUCAGGAAAGAUACUGCGGAUAAGCCGAUUAAUUGGUCACCAUAUGGUUGUCACUACUUUCCCGAUCCUCGCUCGUUUCCAUCACCAAAGCUUGAGACUUUACCUAAAGAACCUUUAAAACAAGGAGAACAAUAUUUUCUUGACCUUGCCGGUAACAUACACAAGGGACCCGUCAGUCUCGGCAACACUUGCUACUGUGGACCCUUUUUUCGUCACAUUGAGAGCAAGCUAAAUUUGAAUCGAAAAAGCCUUAAGAAAUAUGUACACAAAACAAAAGAGAGACUCGGUCACAAAGUUCAAGCAUUGGCAAUUAAGACCAAUGAUCAAAUUGAACAACUUACUCGCUCUAUGAUCGAGGAUCGUAUUCGUUGUGAAAGUAGACGUUAUUAUUUAAACGAAUAUUUAUGUCGUGGGGGGGCUUUACGAUCAACCUUAGAUAAUCAAAUCAAAAAUCCUAGGAUCGAGCAAACGUUGUCCCGUUGUCGAAGCUUAGAUUUAAUUGACUGCAAUCUAGAUAGUGGUACCAUGCCAACUUCAAGGAGUGUAGAUAUUCUAGAAAAAGACAAUCAAUUUGAUAUUGCUGACAUUAAGAAACCGCAUAUACAUUUUAUAGAUAGUGGUGAUGAAAUUGGCUCAAGAAAUAUUUCAACUUCCAAUUCAGAUUGCAGUGUUGGCAUGCCAGUACCAUUGCUCGAUAAUUGCGUUCAUAGUCUUUCUCAGCUAGCAGCCGUAGCAUCUCAAGGUGAACUAAGACAAUCUAAAUUAGAAGAACUAAAAAUUGAUUUUCUUAAGGUAUCAGAGCGACUUGGAAAUCUAUUGGAUAAAACUACUUUAAUAAUGAAAAAAGAUAAUGAGCAAGAGCGCAGACAUCCAUCAAACUUUAUUUUACCAACUAACAUAUCUAUAAAUAGCCCGACAGGUCAUUUCAAUUUGUUGGAAGCCAGGGAUUGUGCGGACGCCCUAAAAUAUGACUAUUAUAAAAAUACACGUCGGCGAUAUCCUUACUCUAGUAAGACCUCACAGCCCUCACAAUAUUUGAAGAGUUCCGAGUUUGAUAUAGUUUCUGGACAUUCUGAAAAGUAUAAGAAUUGUAUUGGCGAGAGAGGUGAUAUUACCUUGAAAACCGUGAUAAAGGCACUUCGCAAGGAUGCUUCAUUUACAGAUAUUAGUAAGGAUGAUAGUUCUUUAAAUGAAAACGCAGGCAUGAUUUGUGGUGAUAAGCUAUUGUAUAAAGAUCAAUCUUCCAAAGACUUCCCUCCAACCUUUUGCAGAGAAACUGUUGGUUCUUCUAGCCAACAAUUGCGUGUUAGCUGCCCCAAGAACCUUUCAAAUAUCUUGAAACGUCAACCACUUUGUUUAGAGGAGAGUUUUACAGAAAACCCACGAUUACUUGUCCCAAGCCCCAUGGCCGCUGACAUCCCAGAAAGCAACAAUGAAUUACAGAUUAGAACCCAAGGCUCUCAGAAUACACUCAGCAAAGUGGAAAUUCGAAAUAGCGAGAUAAAAUCGUUAAAGCAUUCAAAAAGUCGACAAGUUCUGGAUCUCGUUGUACAGGGGGAGAGUGAAGUAGAUAGCAAUUACCAAAACUUGCGCAAGGUUUGUCGUAAUGGUAUCGCUGAUCCAGUCCAAAUUGAACCAAAUUAUUCAUAUUUCCAUGCCUUUGAACUGGGAAAAGUACCUAAGGAUGCAUACUUUCACGAGCUACCAACCCGCUCUCAAAAUGUGCAAAAAACAAGUGUCAUUUACCCAAGCGAUGUACAAAACAUAUGUGUACCACGAGGCUACAGUUACGAUGUCAAAGAUGAAGAUAUAGCUUUACAUACGCCCUCAACACUGCAUCAGCAGAAGAAUAUAAUUAUACCCACGUCGAAAGCUGCCAUUAAUCGCGCGACUAACUUUCGACUAGCUCACACUUCAAAUUUUUAUGGAAGCGUAGCAUCUAAAUCAACACAAGAGCUGGCUUCUAGACAUCGGACUGCACAUGAUGUUUUGAGUGAUGAAAUCGAUGCAGAUGAAAUGGCUGCUGUCGGUAUUUAUAAUAAUGUUUCCAGUUUAGUGUAAAGUACUCAAGUUAGGCAAAUUAUAGGUUGAUUGCGUUGAAUGUAAGUUUGUUACCUUCAGAACAAUAUUCAUUUGUAAAUAGGUUAACAGCUUGAUUUCAAUUUGGACGAAAACUUUAGAACAAUUUUAAAAACAAAUUUUUUGCUUGGCUUUUUGUGCAAAAUGCCUUAUUAACAUUAAAAAUCAAUUUCAAUUUUGGUUUAGUUGUUCGGAAAUGUCUGCAUAGUAGACAAGUGUGUAUCAUCGCAUAGAUGUUUAACUAUAUAACGGUAUUAUUGAGUAAUUACAUAUUUCUUAAAAAAUAUAUUUUUGCUUUCUGUAAAUAUAAGAAUGCUGAGUAAAGCAAGAAA
This is an RNA transcript of Drosophila busckii, 3284 nucleotides long. RefSeq lists it as uncharacterized. The record is from RefSeq and is a predicted model, not a curated record. Lineage: Eukaryota; Metazoa; Arthropoda; Insecta; Diptera; Drosophilidae. The transcript has 5 exons.